GAUGAACGCUGGCGGCGUGCCUAAUACAUGCAAGUCGAGCGAACAGACGAGGUGCUUGCUCCUCUGACGUUAGCGGCGGACGGGUGAGUAACACGUGGAUAACCUACCUAUAAGACUGGGAUAACUUCGGGAAACCGGAUCUAAUACCGGAUAACAUGUUGAACCGCAUGGUUCAACAGUGAAAGACGGUCUUGCUGUCCCUUAUAGAUGGAUCCGCGCCGCAUUAGCUAGUUGGUAAGGUAACGGCUUACCAAGGCAACGAUGCGUAGCCGACCUGAGAGGGUGAUCGGCCACACUGGAACUGAGACACGGUCCAGACUCCUACGGGAGGCAGCAGUAGGGAAUCUUCCGCAAUGGGCGAAAGCCUGACGGAGCAACGCCGCGUGAGUGAAGAAGGUCUUCGGAUCGUAAAACUCUGUUAUCAGGGACGAACAAAUGUGUAAGUAACUAUGCACGCCUUGACGGUACCUAAUCAGAAAGCCACGGCUAACUACGUG
Molecule: ribosomal RNA, 497 nt
Filed under: uncultured bacterium
Lineage: Bacteria
Description: partial 16S ribosomal RNA
Rfam family: Bacterial small subunit ribosomal RNA
Source: RNAcentral